GAAUUAAAGGAUUUUUAGAAUUUUUAAAUGGGGAAAUGAGUAAAAGAGGUUUCUUGAAGGAUAAUUCCUAGAAAGAUAAUACCCUGAUCCCAUCAAUCCAAAUCAAAAUCUAAAUAAAUUAAUAUUCUUUACGAUUUUCUCUCUGUGACAGAACAAACACCUGCCCGCCGCUGAAAAGGGGUAUUCCCCGCGGUGCCCCCAAGGAUGAGAUUCUACAGCAUCCUCCCUCCCCCCUCUUUCCCCUCUUUCCCCCUCUUUUCGCACAAAGCGGAAAUCGGAAAAAACGCAGCGAGACAAAAGGAAAGCGAUAGAGAGAGAGCCAAAGAGAUACUCCCACAGGGCCAAGUGGUUAAAGCGGACUUGGCCCAGUGGCACAGUGGCAGUGGUGAGUCCUGCCAUUUGUUUUAAAGCCACGGGGAGGGGUGGGUGGCGGGGGAGGUGUAUCAGGGAACAGAGCUUAGUGACGGUGUCAGGCAGAUAAACAAAAGUUCUUCGUGUCCGGGAGGAACCACAGAGACAAAAGCCCAACAAAAGCCAACUGGACAAGAGAGACAACCGAUAUUGCGACUGCAAUACACUCAUUUUGGAUAAAGCAAAAGCGAAAGAGAGAGAGACUGCUACCUAUAUUCAUUUUUUUUGUUGGUCAACUCCUGGACACCGUCUCUUCAUCCAUGCCACGCCCUGGAGCAUCCGCCUUUCCAACCACCCACCCCCCCGCUUUUGCAUCCCCUGGAGCGUGGCCACCUCUGACCCGUCAAAUGAAAUGGGCACCACCACCACUACCAACCGGCCGGACGAGCCUGGGAAAACUACUAUCCUUUGUGGAGGCAGGAAGCAUUUCCACUCCCCCCCAGAAAACUCUGCGCCGAUGAUUUAUUGCACUUUUGACGUUAUUGAUAUUUCAUUUGUUUGCGAUGAAGUCAUUUAGUGGCGGACAACACAGGGAAAAGGAUCCUACCAGGAUUUAUGUAGGGCAAGCUGCCAGCAGUGGCUCCUCCGAGGAAUCCUCGACAGCUGCCGGCUCCAGCCUGCUGCCAGCAGCCGCUACUCCGAGGAAUCCUCGCCAGCCGCCGGCUCC
This is a non-coding RNA of Drosophila kikkawai, 1078 nucleotides long. Lineage: Eukaryota; Metazoa; Arthropoda; Insecta; Diptera; Drosophilidae. The record is from RefSeq and is a predicted model, not a curated record.